Molecule: long non-coding RNA, 587 nt
Filed under: Anser brachyrhynchus (Pink-footed goose)
Lineage: Eukaryota; Metazoa; Chordata; Aves; Anseriformes; Anatidae
Description: lncRNA (ENSABRG00000010464.1)
Source: RNAcentral
UGAAAAGAAACGAGGGAUUUUUUUACAUCUUUACUGAAUUCUGACUUUAUUUCUGGAAGGGAGGGAUGGUGAAAAGGGUACUUAGAUGAGGAACAGGAGGGGAGAAUGUUUUUAGAUUGCCUUCUAAUUUUCAGGAGGACUAAGAGGUAAAAUUUUAUACCCCAGAGAGAAAACACUCAAAGCAAGGAGAUUCUGAUUCAAGUCCUAAAACCAAGGCAGCUGAUACUAGCUGCUGUAGACAGACUAACGCUGUGACUGUAAUGAUAUAAAUUUUAUUUCAGGAGUACUUAAAAAGCAUAUGCUAAUGUUUUGUAAGGGAGAAUGGUUUUAAAAUGUCCUUUGAAAUGAGAAUCUAUGUAAUUGUUUAAAGAGAACUUUGUGUAGCAGCAUUUCUUAAUUUAUCUCUUCAAGGGCAAAUGAGACAAUAUUUCUGCACUGUAAAGAGAAGAUUUAGGAAAGAAAUUGAAAUAGAGUGCAUUAGGUUUGGUGCUCAUUGCAUCCUGCAGCUCUCCUUCCUGUUGGAAUGCAGGACAGGUAGAAGGAGGCAAGUUUGGGGCCUUUGGAUCACGCGUCAGAGCCAGCUGUGA